GACGAACGCUGGCGGCGUGCUUAACACAUGCAAGUCGAGCGAGGCCCCCCCUUCGGGAGGGUGUCCUAGCGGCGAACGGGUGAGUAACACGUGGGCAACCUGCCCUCAGCUCUGGGAUAACUCCGGGAAACCGGGGCUAAUACCGGAUACGACCUCCACGGGCAUCUGCGGAGGUGGAAAGUUUUUCGGCUGAGGAUGGGCCCGCGGCCUAUCAGCUAGUUGGUGGGGUAGUGGCCCACCAAGGCGACGACGGGUAGCCGGCCUGAGAGGGCGACCGGCCACACUGGGACUGAGACACGGCCCAGACUCCUACGGGAGGCAGCAGUGGGGAAUAUUGCGCAAUGGGCGGAAGCCUGACGCAGCGACGCCGCGUGAGGGACGAAGGCCUUCGGGUUGUAAACCGCUUUCAGCAGGGACGAAGCGAAAGUGACGGUACCUGCAGAAGAAGCACCGGCUAACUACGUG
Molecule: ribosomal RNA, 465 nt
Filed under: uncultured bacterium
Lineage: Bacteria
Description: partial 16S ribosomal RNA
Rfam family: Bacterial small subunit ribosomal RNA
Source: RNAcentral